AGAGUUUGAUCCUGGCUCAGAUUGAACGCUGGCGGCAGGCUUAACACAUGCAAGUCGAGCGGUAACAGAUCUAGCUUGCUAGGUGCUGACGAGCGGCGGACGGGUGAGUAACGCGUAGAAAACUGCCCAGUAGUGGGGGAUAGCCCAGAGAAAUUUGGAUUAAUACCGCAUACGCCCUACGGGGGAAAGGGGGCUUCGGCUCUCGCUAUUGGAUGUGUCUGCGUGGGAUUAGCUAAUUGGUGAGGUAAGGGCUCACCAAGGCGACGAUCCCUAGCUGGUCUGAGAGGAUGAUCAGCCACACUGGGACUGAGACACGGCCCAGACUCCUACGGGAGGCAGCAGUGGGGAAUAUUGCACAAUGGGCGCAAGCCUGAUGCAGCCAUGCCGCGUGUGUGAAGAAGGCUUUCGGGUUGUAAAGCACUUUCAGUGAGGAGGAAAAGUUAACGGUUAAUACCCGUUAGCCCUGACGUACUCACAGAAGAAGCCCCGCUAACU
Molecule: ribosomal RNA, 495 nt
Filed under: uncultured bacterium
Lineage: Bacteria
Description: bacterial SSU rRNA
Rfam family: Bacterial small subunit ribosomal RNA
Source: RNAcentral